RNAcentral lists this ribosomal RNA (445 nucleotides) under uncultured bacterium. RNAcentral describes it as "bacterial SSU rRNA". It matches the Rfam family "Bacterial small subunit ribosomal RNA", at positions 28 to 481 of the family's 1533-position model. The record is from RNAcentral.
GAUGAACGCUAGCUACAGGCUUAACACAUGCAAGUCGAGGGGCAGCAUGGACAUAGCUUGCUAUGUUUGAUGGCGACCGGCGCACGGGUGCGUAACACGUAUCCAAUCUGCCCGUUACUCGGGGAUAGCCUUCUGAAAGGAAGAUUAAUACCCGAUGGCAUUCAUUAGCGGCAUCGCUUGUGAAUUAAAGAUUUAUCGGUAACGGAUGAGGAUGCGUACGAUUAGCUAGUUGGUGGGGUAAUGGCCUACCAAGGCGACGAUGCGUAGCCGACCUGAGAGGAUGAACGGCCACAUUGGGACUGAGAUACGGCCCAGACUCCUACGGGAGGCAGCAGUGGGGAAUAUUGGGCAAUGGGGGAAACCCUGACCCAGCAACGCCGCGUGAAGGAAGAAGGCCUUGGUUGUAACUUCUUUUAGUCAGGGACGAAGAACGUGACGGUACCUG